This 164-nucleotide ribosomal RNA is filed under the name Pinaropappus roseus. Its description in RNAcentral is "5.8S ribosomal RNA". It matches the Rfam family "5.8S ribosomal RNA". Rfam says of the family: 5.8S ribosomal RNA (5.8S rRNA) is a component of the large subunit of the eukaryotic ribosome. It is transcribed by RNA polymerase I as part of the 45S precursor that also contains 18S and 28S rRNA. Functionally, it is thought that 5.8S rRNA may be involved in ribosome translocation. The record is from RNAcentral. RNAcentral also lists the same sequence under 1 other name. Lineage: Eukaryota; Viridiplantae; Streptophyta; Magnoliopsida; Asterales; Asteraceae.
CAAACGACUCUCGGCAACGGAUAUCUCGGCUCACGCAUCGAUGAAGAACGUAGCAAAAUGCGAUACUUGGUGUGAAUUGCAGAAUCCCGUGAACCAUCGAGUUUUUGAACGCAAGUUGCGCCCGAAGCCUUCCGGCCGAGGGCACGCCUGCCUGGGCGUCACGC